GGCAGAAUUUCACAGGGACCGGGAAGUGUUCAGCAAGAAAAACUGAAGCAGAGCCUCAGGGUUAAAAGAGCCCAUAGAAAUCAUCUGAUGGAAUCCCCAGCGUGUGAAACGAAGAUGCUAUCAGAUCAUUAAUCUGCUGCAUCAGAAGCAUUCGGAUGCUACGGUAGACAGAAGAAUGGUCCCCAAAGAUGCCCACGUCCUAACCCCCACUAUCUAACCGAGCCCAGGCUCAAGGAGGGGAGAUGACGUGAGGGCAUGCAGACCAGGAGAAGGCAUCACCGGGGUAGCUUCAAGGCUGCCUAUCACCGUCAUUUGUUCGUAGAAUGAAACUUUACUG
Long non-coding RNA from Zalophus californianus (California sea lion), 337 nucleotides. RefSeq lists it as uncharacterized. The record is from RefSeq and is a predicted model, not a curated record. The transcript is spliced from 3 exons. Lineage: Eukaryota; Metazoa; Chordata; Mammalia; Carnivora; Otariidae.